GUAGGUGGCAAGCGUUGUCCGGAAUUAUUGGGCGUAAAGCGCGCGCAGGCGGUUCUUUAAGUCUGAUGUGAAAGCCCACGGCUCAACCGUGGAGGGUCAUUGGAAACUGGAGAACUUGAGUACAGAAGAGGAAAGCGGAAUUCCACGUGUAGCGGUGAAAUGCCUAGAGAUGUGGAGGAACACCAGUGGCGAAGGCGGCUUUCUGGUCUGUAACUGACGCUGAGGCGCGAAAGCGUGGGGAGCAAACAGGAUUAGAUACCCUGGUAGUCCACGCCGUAAACGAUGAGUGCUAAGUGUUAGGGGGUUUCCGCCCCCCUUAGUGCUGCAGCUAACGCAUUAAGCACUCCGCCUGGGAGUACGGCCGCAAGGCUG
RNAcentral lists this ribosomal RNA (372 nucleotides) under uncultured organism. RNAcentral describes it as "partial 16S ribosomal RNA". It matches the Rfam family "Bacterial small subunit ribosomal RNA", at positions 527 to 896 of the family's 1533-position model. The record is from RNAcentral.